UGUCAUUCGACGGGGCAAGCGAUGAAGUCAGCAUGAUGUCAUCUAGAGAGCCUGGCAAGGUGAAAUAGGGUUUUGGUGAGGGGUAUUCUUCACGGCCUGCGUUGCCUACCCAGAGAGAGAGGCGCGGAGCUGCGAAACAUGGUAAUCACCACCACCACCUCAAGCUCUGCCGUGCGCUCUCCCGUUUCCUCUCUUCUGCACCGGGGCAGUCGUCUAAUGCCCAAAGCCCAGAUCCGCGUUCCAAAAAUAAUCCUCUGCCAGCAUGCCGAAGGAAGAAAAACAAGGAGAGCGGUAUUUUUAGGGCCAUUAAUUUUGACCACGUGCCCCGAAGGUAAACCGGAUGGCCAUUGCGCAAAGGCUCCUCAUCAGUAUGUCCCACGAGGCCAGCACGCACUGGACGUUGACUGCAAUUGUUCUCUUGGGGUUCCUGGUUGGGAUUGUGUCAUCAUAUCCUAUUCCAAGCAGGACGAAUGCAACUUUAUUGGAAAAAAGAUGGGAGACCCUGUUCUCCCGCUCUAUACUGGGUAUCUCGGGGGAGAAAUCGGACCUGAACUGGGAGAGUGACUAUUUGCUGGGUAUCAAAAGAGUGCGAAGACUGUACUGCAACGUAGGCAUCGGGUUUCACCUUCAGGUCCUCCCCGGCGGGAUAAACGGUGUACAUAAUGAAAACCAGUACAGUUUAAUAGAGAUCUCGACGGUAGAGCGAGGAGUGGUCAGCCUCUACGGGGUGAAGAGUGAGCUGUUUGUCGCAAUGAAUAGCCUGGGAAGGUUAUACGGAACGACAGUCUUCCAUGAUGAGUGCAAGUUCAAGGAGACCUUGCUGCCAAACAACUACAACGCCUAUGAGUCCUCCAUGUACAGAGGCUUCUACAUCGCCCUCAGUAAACAUGGCCGCCUGAAGAGGGGCAGUAAAGCCACCACUGCCAUGACGGUCACACACUUCCUACCCCGAAUAUGAUCAAAACUAAACAACCUGGCAAUAACUCACUAUAUUUGCACAUGUGGAUUAAUUUCCCAGAGGCCAUAGCUAGGAAAGAAGAGGAGGAGGAUAAGCCAAACAGGACAGAGAGAGACAGAGGACACAUAUGGAGCUGCACAAGAUGUCCAGCAGUGUUUGUUUAACCUGGUGAUGAGGUAGAUCGUGUUGCACAGGCCCCCUGCGUUCCCCAAUGCAAAUACCUGAGGACCCCUCACCUGUCCCUCGGUCAGUUGGGGAAACAGUGAGACAGUUUUGUCUGCGUCAACCCUUGAUCUUCCAGCUCCCUCCCCUCCUCACAUAUCAACCAUGUUAGUCGAAGGACAAAUGGGCCGGUGGUCUCUCUCAGCCUUUGGUAGGAUAGACAGUGAGGUUGCUCCCAAACUGUCUGUCUGGCUUGUAUAUACAUUUAAAUUAAUAUGUUAUUCCUUAAUCCAUACAAUGGGUGUGCAUCUCAAAUAUGUUUUAGAAUAUGAUUUAACUGUGGAAGAUCUCUGAUAGCUAACAACCGUACGGUCAUUUUGGGGUCUAGAGGACAGGUUGUGUCAGCUAGCCAAUAGCCCUACAGUAGCCCUGCUAAUUCUAACAGGCGCUCCUUCUCUGUAGCUUAGUGUGAUAGGACAAUAUUCUCUGUAGCUUAGUGUGAUUGGACAAUAUUCUCUGUAGUUUAGUGUGAUAGGACAGCCUUCUCUGUAGCUUAGUGUGAUAGGACAGUCUUCUCUGUAGCUUAGUGUGAUAGGACAAUAUUCUCUGUAGCUUAGUGUGAUAUGACAGCCUUCUCUGUAGCUUAGUGUGUUAGGACAGUCUUCUCUGUAGCUUAGUGUGAUAGGACAAUAUUCUCUGUAGCUUAGUGUGAUAGGACAGCCUUCUCUGUAGCUUAGUGUGUUAGGACAGUCUUCUCUGUAGCUUAGCGUGAUAGGACAGGAAGGGCAUAUCUUCAGCAGCUGACUGAGAUAACACAUGCGGCUAGAGAACAUCUCUGAAUGUUUGUGCUCAUCAUCUCUUUUUCCGUGCUAGCGGCAGCAGAGAUGCUAUCAGAUCAAUUUACCUUGAGUCAGGAAGAGCAGGGCAUUGUCUGGCUUUGCUAGUAACCGCACUGCUCCAUUCUGCAAGGGAGGCAAGCAGACAGUUAGACAGACAGGCAGUUAUUCAGGGAGGCAAGCCGGCAGGCAGACAGACAGACAGGCAGUUAAGAGGCAGGCAGGUAGCCAGGCAAGCAACAGACAAACCCUUUUGGCAAUGACCUCAUCAGCCCUGAUAAAAAAGAGGCCAUUAGAUCACUCUUGAUAAUGGCUAACCAAUGGUUCAUGCAAGAAAGCAAGACGGUUAAGUGUUGUGCUAGGAAACAGUGAUGGAGUGCACUUCCUGUAAGUGCAAUGAUCAGAAACAGGGAGCAACACCAGCUUGGUGCUGCCAGGAUGCAGCAACACUGUUAACUCUGCUGGUUAGUCCACUGUGCAGUGUUGUGUGUCUCACCAGUGGUGAGAAUAAUAUGUAUUAUAAAUAAUAAUACAAACAGGAAUGGAUAAUAUCCUGAUCAUAUCCUGUUCACCAUGUCUUUUGUCAUUGAUCAAUACUCAUUAGAUAAUGUAUAGAACAUUCUGGAGAUCACCUGUCAGAUCAGGAUGAGUGUGGAAGUCACCUGAAUGUUGCUGCUUCAGGGGUUGAAAUGGCCGCAACAACUGUAGAAAAGAUGAAUGUGAAUAUCUCAUCCUAAGCUGCCCCCGAGAUCUCAAUAUAAGCACUUGUGAAGUCCCCCCCCCCCCCCCCCCCUAAAUGCACUGGUCUACAUCUGAAAGGACUUUAUAAAAGAAACAUGACCAUUUUGUUUAUAGUUCCUAUCCAACCAUCCAAGAAUUGUUUUUCUUGGGUGAGGCAGCGUGAGGAGUGAUGUGGAGCUGGGCAUGUGUGUCGCUGAGCUGGCCCUGUGUGUGUGGAG
Osmerus eperlanus (European smelt) is the source of this 2915-nucleotide RNA transcript. It is a transcript of the gene named fibroblast growth factor 6a, with no coding region annotated. The record is from RefSeq and is a predicted model, not a curated record. The transcript is spliced from 5 exons. NCBI's taxonomy places the organism in Eukaryota, Metazoa, Chordata, Actinopteri, Osmeriformes, Osmeridae.